GCCAGCGAAGUAUUUCACACGCCAAAAUUAAAUCUUACAAAAUUGUACUCUGACAAAGCGUUGUUUUCUCAGUAAUUAAUUACAAUGUUGCCUUAACCUCGACGAUGUUUGGUGCCCUGCCUUGCCCUACGCUACAUUACAUUUUCCUUUCCUUCUCUCUCUCUUGCAAAUCUCAAGUCUCACCUACCCAUGCGCGCACAUUCACUGAAGCCUCUAUAAAAAGGGCAAUAAGAUACACGCAAAGCUAGAGCAUAGGUCAUUGGGCAAAAAUAUGGAGUCGGUAGCAAGGCCAGCUGAGAACAUUGGCGGUCGACCAAAUAGUGAGCACGCAAAGGAUCGGUGUGGCUACUUUCAGAUGCCUUUGCACUACCCUAGAUACACCCAUGCCGAGUACGACACCAUGCCAGAAUGGAAGCUUGAUUGCUUGCUAAAAGAGUACGGCCUACCCAUCACCGGAAAUGUUGAAUACAAGAGGAAGUUUGCCAUGGGAGCUUUUCUUUGGCCUAACUAGAGACUUUAAUUCUAUUCUGGUCAUUGAUCAUUAUGCUUCUUCCUCUUCUUCUCAGGUGUUUGAGUGUUAUGCUGUUUGAGAUGAAAUGAAAUGCUUGGAUAUCCAUUUUGAAGGGAAGUGCAUGUAUGUAACGUAGCAAUUAAGAAAUGUGUGCUACUGAUAGUGUGUUUAAUAGCUUCUUGUGUUAUUUGCUUUUCUUUUUAAGUGUGAUCAAUUAAUGGGAUUUUCACUUGUUGCCUCCUAAUGUGCUUGGUCAUGAUUCCUUUUACUGCUUGCUUUUCAUUGUUAUACAUCAAUUCAUUAACAUUCCUUUGUAUAAUGUAUGCUUGAUGGACCACCUAAUGAAAUUGAAAAGAAAAUAAAAGCAUAUGGGUGAGU
Molecule: unclassified non-coding RNA, 889 nt
Filed under: Hevea brasiliensis (rubber tree)
Lineage: Eukaryota; Viridiplantae; Streptophyta; Magnoliopsida; Malpighiales; Euphorbiaceae
Source: RNAcentral